This 245-nucleotide ribosomal RNA is filed under the name uncultured Allostella sp. RNAcentral describes it as "uncultured Stella sp. partial 16S ribosomal RNA". It matches the Rfam family "Bacterial small subunit ribosomal RNA", at positions 524 to 768 of the family's 1533-position model. Lineage: Bacteria; Pseudomonadati; Pseudomonadota; Alphaproteobacteria; Rhodospirillales; Allostellaceae. The record is from RNAcentral.
UACGAAGGGGGCAAGCGUUGUUCGGAAUUACUGGGCGUAAAGGGCGCGCAGGCGGCCGCUCAAGUCAGAUGUGAAAGCCCCGGGCUCAACCUGGGAAUAGCAUCUGGGACUGAGUGGCUAGAGUUCGGGAGAGGAGAGUGGAAUUCCCAGUGUAGAGGUGAAAUUCGUAGAUAUUGGGAAGAACACCGGUGGCGAAGGCGGCUCUCUGGACCGAUACUGACGCUGAGGCGCGAAAGCGUGGGGAG